GACGAACGCUGGCGGCGUGCUUAACACAUGCAAGUCGAACGGUGAAGCUCCAGCUUGCUGGAGUGGAUCAGUGGCGAACGGGUGAGUAACACGUGAGCAACCUGCCCCUGACUCUGGAAUAAGCGCUGGAAACGGCGUCUAAUACUGGAUACGAGAAGGGUCCGCAUGGGCACUUUCUGGAAAGUUUUUCGGUUGGGGAUGGGCUCGCGGCCUAUCAGCUUGUUGGUGAGGUAAUGGCUCACCAAGGCGACGACGGGUAGCCGGCCUGAGAGGGCGACCGGCCUCACUGGGACUGAGACACGGCCCAGACUCCUACGGGAGGCAGCAGUGGGGAAUAUUGCACAAUGGGCGAAAGCCUGAUGCAGCGACGCCGCGUGAGGGAUGACGGCCUUCGGGUUGUAAACCUCUUUCAGCAGGGAUGAAGCGAAAGUGACGGUACCUGCAGAAGAAGCACCGGCUAACUACGUG
RNAcentral lists this ribosomal RNA (468 nucleotides) under uncultured bacterium. RNAcentral describes it as "partial 16S ribosomal RNA". It matches the Rfam family "Bacterial small subunit ribosomal RNA", at positions 28 to 507 of the family's 1533-position model. The record is from RNAcentral.